This 1851-nucleotide long non-coding RNA is filed under the name Mus musculus (house mouse). RNAcentral's name for it is "long non-coding RNA chr1:90758638-90760489". Lineage: Eukaryota; Metazoa; Chordata; Mammalia; Rodentia; Muridae. The record is from RNAcentral.
GAACUUUACCCAUGAUGCUGUGUGUGAAGCAUCUGUGGCCAUGCCACACCAGCUUCUAGGACAGUUCAUGGCUUCUGUGCCUUAGCCCAGUAGACAUCAUUUUCUUUUAGAAAGAGAAUCCAACACAGGAAAUGCUCUUUAUUGCCAAGUCAGAAGCUGCCCCAUAGAGACAGAGGGGACACUAGUGUCGUGAACAUGUCAGGGAUCAAGAAAAGACACAACACUCAUGCAGUCUAGUGAAGAACAGUCCCAGGGAGUGAAGAAUUACAAGAAGUCGGGGAUCAGGAGGAGUGCUGCAGCUCCCCUCAAACUCUCCCAGGUCUAACCAACACAAAUAAUCCCACAAAUGUCUUGAAUCUAUCUGCUGUGUGGGAACUUGUGUAGCUCUGCAUCUGUUGGAUCAGAAUGAAGCCAGAGCUACCACACUGGUGUUUCAUCAGGUGUCACUAUCGGCUUCUCUGAAUUUCUGCAGUGACCUGAUGACUGUCUGUGACUGUGCAGUCCUGGCAUUAUGUGACCCAUACAUGGCCACCCAAGCGUCUUUCACUGUCCGUGGGCUUUCCAUGCUGCUUGACAGAUCACAUUUCAAUGAGCAAAGCCAGUCUUCUUGUACCACCCAAUGAAGCCUGCAACCUUUCCACCAUGGACCUAACCAGUCUUGCUACUCCUUUGAGGAUCCUCCAUCUUGGAUUUCCUGCUGUGAAGAACACUGACCCUACAUUUCCUUCUUGUCUGCCUCCUUUACUUCCUUCAGUAUUUAAUCAGUCACUUCAGUGAGUCCUACAGAGAUCUGAUGAUGUAGAGAUGACAUCACAACCCGGCUGCCACUCUGUCCCUUUCCACACACAGUCCCCACAGUUAUCCACCCCACCCCCACAGCAGCUCAUAAUUGCUCAUCCUCAUACAUUUCAGGGGAGGGAUCCAAGGUUCAUGUGUUCACCCAUUUAUCCUCCAAGCCCUCAAUAGCACACAGAAUCAGCACUGUGCCUUUUGAAUUGAUUGUAGCAUCUGUCAACUGUCUUUAUCUGGCCAAACAUCUCUAUGGGUAGGAAGUUCCACACAAACUUCAAAUCUCGGGUAGAUGAGUCCACCACUCUACUUUGGAAUGUGCACUAGAUGCAAAGCAAGUUUGGUAUAGAUACACAGAAGAAGUCAGCUGCUGGUUAAGGGAGGCCACUUAUAGUACACAAGGAGUUUUGUGGCAAAGAGAUUCUCCUUCCAGCAGACUACAUCUCUGCACAUUCCAGGGUAUAGAUGGACAGUAUAGAUAGUCAGGGUUUCCCUCCCAUGAGAAUACCAGGGCCCAACUCUAUAAUAACAGAAGAUGAAUAAUAAAAAAGAAGCCUGCCAUAGUGACUACCCUCAGCACUUCCUAUGUGCCAGCAAUUUAUGAAACUAUCUGUUUUCUUUGGUUCCAUAAGAACUGCAUCUCCAGUACCCACCAUGCAUUUAAUGCUUUCAGAAAUAUGUGGAUGGAUUGAUGGAUGGAUGGAUGGAUGGAUGAUGUGACAGCUUGAAUUGUCAACAACCUAGAACUACCUGGGAAGAAAAUCUCAGUUGAAGGAUUAUUUGCAUUGGGUUGGUCUGUGGGCGUGUUUAUGGAGGAUUGUCUUAAUUAACUGAUGUAGGAAGACAUACCCCACUGAGGGCAGCACCAUUCCCUAGACAUAAGGUCCUUACAUGUGUAUGAAUUAAGCUGAGCACAAAUAGUGAACAAGUGGGCAGCCAUGCAUUCAUUUCUUCCUACACAUCUUGACUGUAGAUGUGAUGUAGAUAGUUGUUUGAAGCUCCUGCCCUGACUUCCCCACAAUCAUGGUCUGUAACCUGGAAUUAUAAGCAGAAAGAAACCCC